GAUGAACGCUGGCGGCGUGCCUAAUACAUGCAAGUCGAGCGACCAGACGAGGAGCUUGCUCCUCUGACGUUAGCGGCGGACGGGUGAGUAACACGUGGAUAACCUACCUAUAAGACUGGGAUAACUUCGGGAAACCGGCGCUAAUACCGGAUAAUAUAUUGAACCGCAUGGUUCAAUAGUGAAAGACGGUUUUGCUGUCACUUAUAGAUGGAUCCGCGCCGCAUUAGCUAGUUGGUAAGGUAACGGCUUACCAAGGCAACGAUGCGUAGCCGACCUGAGAGGGUGAUCGGCCACACUGGAACUGAGACACGGUCCAGACUCCUACGGGAGGCAGCAGUAGGGAAUCUUCCGCAAUGGGCGAAAGCCUGACGGAGCAACGCCGCGUGAGUGAUGAAGGUCUUCGGAUCGUAAAACUCUGUUAUUAGGGAAGAACAAAUGUGUAAGUAACUAUGCACGUCUUGACGGUACCUAAUCAGAAAGCCACGGCUAACUACGUG
Molecule: ribosomal RNA, 497 nt
Filed under: uncultured bacterium
Lineage: Bacteria
Description: partial 16S ribosomal RNA
Rfam family: Bacterial small subunit ribosomal RNA
Source: RNAcentral